Molecule: long non-coding RNA, 290 nt
Filed under: Phoenix dactylifera (date palm)
Lineage: Eukaryota; Viridiplantae; Streptophyta; Magnoliopsida; Arecales; Arecaceae
Description: long non-coding RNA (PDAC_LNC009343)
Source: RNAcentral
AAAAGGAAAAACUAUAAAACGACACGAUACCCCAUAGGUCAGCAGAACGUGGCGUUUAAUUGGUCUUCCACAACAAGCUGAAAAGAUCUUAAUACCGUCAUGCUAACAAAAUAAUAUUUUAUAUUAGGACAUAGACUCUGCUGCGGUAUUUCAUUGGCUGGCAAUCAUUGUCACGGUAGCAACGGACGGUCGUGCCAAGUCCAUAACGACUGAUCGUCGUGGACUACCAUAAAACUAUCCAUCUGAAAUUUUCCACUUAACAACGGCUGAUUACAAGUCACAUUCCAAAA